CAGGAAGGGGACAUUGGGUGACCCACCCCAAGGCAGGUCAGAGGGGCUUGCCAGGGCUCCCUGGGGAGUGGUCUCUGGCCUCCUCUGAGUCUUCCAACCCUAAUGGUGCCUGGCAUAGAUAUUCUGUCCACUUCAGCUCGAGCUCCCACAACACUCUGAGGCCUGCACCCAAAGGCAGUGUCCAGGAGAGCGUUGUCCGGUCUCGGAGAAUGGUGGAGCCCCUGGAGGACAGAAGGCAAGAGAACUUCUUCUGUGGCCCCCCUGAGAAGAGCUAUGCAAAGCUGGUGUUCAUGUCCACCUCCUCGGGCAGCCUAUGGAACCUGCAUGCCAU
RNAcentral lists this small RNA (331 nucleotides) under Pongo abelii (Sumatran orangutan). RNAcentral describes it as "retained intron". The record is from RNAcentral. Lineage: Eukaryota; Metazoa; Chordata; Mammalia; Primates; Hominidae.